GGCCUUGCUCUUAUGUCAUCUGACUAAAGGUUUCAUAGACCAAAGAUAACCAUCCAACUUGUUGGAAUACUGAAACAAUUGCUGCCUGUUGUCCACACACCACUUAAAUAUGUGGAUUUCCUAAAUUCUGCAAAAAAGGUUUGGAAGCUGAUCAAGCAAUACUGGAACUCCCUCUUCUCCAGAAGAGACAUCCUGGCCUCCAUGCAAAGGAAUGUGUGGAUGGACAUAUAUUUAAGGAAGACACUAAACCAGAAACUACUACAUUACACCCUCUUAGAAGACUUCUAAGAUUGUUGUCAUGCCUACAACAGACAUUCAGAUGAUGUGUAUUGUUGAUUGUGAUUUCAUGUUUGGACCUGAUGAAGGAACCCAGGAGAUGAACAUAUGCCUGAGAAGACGAACUAGUGUGGAACUGUCAGCCAGGUUUUUGAUGAGUGCUCAGACUGCUUCCUGAUCCAGGAACCACAUUUACUAUAGUGGACAGAUGCUCUAGUCUCUGAUGAGGAGUUGCUAGCUGUUGGGAAGAACCUGAAAUGGGCUCCACUGCAUGAGGUUUGAAGUCUCCAGAGCAGCAAAGAGAGUGGGGAGUAGAACUAUUCAUCUUUAGGUCACUCAUCAUCG
RNAcentral lists this long non-coding RNA (621 nucleotides) under Mus musculus (house mouse). RNAcentral describes it as "predicted gene, 30686". Lineage: Eukaryota; Metazoa; Chordata; Mammalia; Rodentia; Muridae. The record is from RNAcentral.